GAACUGAAGAGUUUGAUCCUGGCUCAGAUUGAACGCUGGCGGCAUGCCUUACACAUGCAAGUCGAACGGCAGCACGGGG
RNAcentral lists this non-coding RNA (79 nucleotides) under Candidatus Dechloromonas phosphoritropha. Its description in RNAcentral is "partial 16S ribosomal RNA". It matches the Rfam family "Bacterial small subunit ribosomal RNA", at positions 1 to 79 of the family's 1533-position model. RNAcentral also lists the same sequence under 1 other name. The record is from RNAcentral. Lineage: Bacteria; Pseudomonadati; Pseudomonadota; Betaproteobacteria; Rhodocyclales; Azonexaceae.